This is a long non-coding RNA of Papaver somniferum (opium poppy), 2549 nucleotides long. RefSeq lists it as uncharacterized. The transcript has 7 exons. The record is from RefSeq and is a predicted model, not a curated record. Lineage: Eukaryota; Viridiplantae; Streptophyta; Magnoliopsida; Ranunculales; Papaveraceae.
AAAUAUAGUGCAUCCCUCUGCAAACAGUACAACUCUCCGCCAUCGCCGUCACCUUUCUUCUUCUUCACUUUUUCUUUCUUGGAAGUUAAGAUGGAAACAUCUACCCAGAUGGAAGCAUAUAAACUCCCUGGGAGGCUCAUUCCCCACAUAAUUUCUACUAGUGAGCACAUUUAUAGGAUUCCAGAGUUAGAAAUGGAACAGGACACUGAGGCUGAGCAGUACACUGAGGAUGAGGAUGAGGAUGAUGAUGGGGAAUGAGGAUGAGGAUGAGGAUGAGGGGGAUGAGGAGGAGGGGGAGGUUACCCGUAGGAGUAGGUAUUGUCUGCUUGACAAUAAUCAUUCUGGAGACUUCCUUAUUCAAGAUGCACGCAUUUGUUCUACAUAAGUCUGAGGACCUUGCAUCGUUGUGGUUUACUGUUGAAAAAGAAUUAGAAGGUCUUAUAUCUGCACUUUCACCAUUCAAGUUCUUGCAAGAGAUUACACGGAAACUGGAACUGGAGACGGUUAUAAGUGUUUGUGCCUGGACAGAGUAGUGCCCUUCUCGAAGAUGAAACCCUGGUUUGAGUUUAACUGCUUUGAGCUAAAGAAACUAGAAGCUGAAGGGUUUUUAGUUAAUGAAAUAUUAACUGGAUUUAUAACGUUAUGUAUUGAUACACAUAUGCUCAAGAAGGUGUCAGGUCUUGGCAGUUACUUGUCAGUAGCUUCUAGGUCCUUCUUAAUAGAUCAUCAUGGCGAUCUAGUGGCUUAUAAAAUGACAAGUGUUUGCCGUGGUUGUAUAGAGAACUAUAAUAAAGCAUUGCACCGCUGGAAUCUUCUAAAUAAUGAUUCAGACAAGGAUAUAGUAAAGAUGAUGACGAAGGAUAAAGUUCUGAAGAAAAAAGUUGUCAAACAACAAACACAUGACGUUCUUCUAGAUGAUACAUGUCCUUCUUAUCCCCUGAUAAUGCAGUUGCUCUAUUUCGGGGAUACGUAUGUAGAAACACAUGAAGCCUGUGGAAACCCUUACGUUGAAAGUUUGGACAUCGUACCCAUCAUUUCUUUGUCAUCCAAAGACGAACAGAAAUUUAUAUCUUUGAAAUUUGAAUUUGGAUUUGGAAGACCUAUGGACCAGAAAAUAAAAAGAUACAAGGAAUGGCUUGACAUGGCACCUGUUUCUGAGAAGGGCAAGAAUUCAAUGAUCGUCUUCUGGCUACUGGAUGGUGCGCCAUCCAGUUGCUCUGUUUGUCACAUUUUGUGAGUUGGGGAGUGUAGCUUUGGAUGCAAUAGAUGAGGUAUCAAAGGCGGAAAAAAGAAAUAGAGUCAAGGAAGCUAAAAAACACAAGGUGAGCGCUGGUGUUGUGCAGGCUAACAAAUUAACUCAGAGUCCAACAGAUAGUCAGGGCAUGUCAAGUCAGAGCACGUCAAGUCAGGGCAUGUCAAGUCAGAGCACGUCAAGUCAGAGCCCAAUGGUGCAAAACCCUACCGUCACCCCUAUUCAGCCCCAACAGAAGAUGAAGGGUAUUCAGCCCCAAAAGAAGAUUAAUGGUAGGGUGCCGUGGAUUCAACCACCUGCUAAAGGAAUCAGCCGUAUCGAUACUGAUGGAUCGUUCGUUGUUAAGGCAAAUAAAGAAUGUACAGCUGGAUUUGGCUGUAUUAUCCGACAAUUUGAAACAGUUCAGAAUGUUGAAACAGUUCAGAAUGUUCAAGUGGAAGUGGCAGUUGCUGGUGGUGCCACACCAUAUUCGUCACUUGCUUCUGAACUCGAAGGUAUAUAUUGGGGAUUCAGGAAACGAAAGACCUCGGUCUUCAGAACGUUGUAUUGGGCACGGAUUGUCUGCCAGCGCUUCAUCAUGUGGACAACGGACUAGUGGUGCAUAAACUAAUAGGUCGGUACCUCAGAGUGUCAAACAAACUGAAGAAAUUGAUCAAUAGAAUUAUCGAAUGUCAGUCGCAUUUUGCGCAUUGCGAGUUGAUUCAAUUAUACAGAGGUGCGAAUGAGGUUGCCAAUUUAUUGGCGCAUAUCCAUACCAAUCCAACAAGUCUAACAGUAUACGGCCAAGGCUAUUUUGAUCAAGCUGACAACAAGCUAGAUGAGAUGGAGCUUAAGAUCAAAAGAUUUAUUAAAUCUGACGCUGCUGGUAAACAUUAUCUCCCCCAUGGAGAACCAUAGCUCUGCGUAAUUAAAAUACUCAAGCCUGUCAGGAAUAACAAGGUAUGUUUAUAUUAGGAGGAGAUAGAAGAUUUAACAUGGAUUAGAAGUAGAAGAAAAGAAAUGAAGUCAUAGAUAAGACCAAUUGACCAAGGACAGGGGAUUUCAACUUUUUGUAUUUCCCUGUUUGUUUGAUUUUUUGUAUGAAAUACAGAAGUAACAGGAACCUUUACUUAAAUACCAACAAAAAGAUUUUAAAUGUGAAUCCAUUAAUAAUCGGUCAUUAGUCACUCAUCAGCGUUUUUUUGUGGGCACUAUUUUGAGGACGGUUCUCUUAAAAUCUCUUUUCAUCUCAGUAUUCUCAAUAUCUGUUACCAGCUUCACUGCCUUCUUGGUUGCAUCUUUGUUGUCAUCUUUGACA